UACGAAGGGGGCUAGCGUUGCUCGGAAUUACUGGGCGUAAAGCGCACGUAGGCGGAUCGUUAAGUCGGGGGUGAAAUCCUGGAGCUCAACUCCAGAACUGCCUUCGAUACUGGCGAUCUCGAGUUCGGGAGAGGUGAGUGGAACUGCGAGUGUAGAGGUGAAAUUCGUAGAUAUUCGCAAGAACACCAGUGGCGAAGGCGGCUCACUGGCCCGAUACUGACGCUGAGGUGCGAAAGCGUGGGGAGCGAACAGG
RNAcentral lists this ribosomal RNA (253 nucleotides) under uncultured bacterium. Its description in RNAcentral is "partial 16S ribosomal RNA". It matches the Rfam family "Bacterial small subunit ribosomal RNA", at positions 524 to 776 of the family's 1533-position model. The record is from RNAcentral.